GCGCCCAUAGCUCAAUUGGAUAGAGCACCAGGCUUCGAACCUGGGGGUUAGGGGUUCGAGUCCCUUUGGGCGCGCCA
RNAcentral lists this transfer RNA (77 nucleotides) under Gammaproteobacteria bacterium. RNAcentral's name for it is "tRNA-Arg". It matches the Rfam family "tRNA". From Rfam's summary of the family: Transfer RNA (tRNA) molecules are approximately 80 nucleotides in length. Their secondary structure includes four short double-helical elements and three loops (D, anti-codon, and T loops). The record is from RNAcentral. Lineage: Bacteria; Pseudomonadati; Pseudomonadota; Gammaproteobacteria.